Molecule: ribosomal RNA, 497 nt
Filed under: uncultured bacterium
Lineage: Bacteria
Description: partial 16S ribosomal RNA
Rfam family: Bacterial small subunit ribosomal RNA
Source: RNAcentral
GAUGAACGCUGGCGGCGUGCCUAAUACAUGCAAGUCGAGCGAACAGACGAGGAGCUUGCUCCUCGGACGUUAGCGGCGCACGUGUGUGUAACAUGUGGAUAACCUACCUAUAAGACUGGUAUAACUUCGGGAAACCGGAGCUAAUAGCGUAUAAUAUAUUGAACCGCAUGGUUCAAUGGUAAAAGACGGUGGUGCUGGCACUUAUAGAGGGAUCCGAGCCGGAUUAGCUAGUUGGUAAGGUAAAGGCUUAUCAAGGGAACGAUGCGUAGGCGACCUGAGAGGGUGAUCGGCCACACGGGAACUGAGCCACCGUCCAGACUCCUACGGGAGGCAGCAGUAGGGAACCUUCCGCAAUGGGCGAAAGCAUGACGGAGCAACGCCGCGUGAGUGAUGAAGGUCUUCGGAUCGUAAACCUCUGUUAUUAGGGAAGAACAAAUGUGUAAGUAACUAUGCACGUCUUGACGGUACCUAAUCAGAAAGCCACGGCUAACUACGUG